This 497-nucleotide ribosomal RNA is filed under the name uncultured bacterium. RNAcentral describes it as "partial 16S ribosomal RNA". It matches the Rfam family "Bacterial small subunit ribosomal RNA", at positions 28 to 507 of the family's 1533-position model. The record is from RNAcentral.
GAUGAACGCUGGCGGCGUGCCUAAUACAUGCAAGUCGAGCGAACAGACGAGGAGCUUGCUCCUCUGACGUUAGCGGCGGACGGGUGAGUAACACGUGGAUAACCUACCUAUAAGACUGGGAUAACUUCGGGAAACCGGAGCUAAUACCGGAUAAUAUAUUGAACCGCAUGGUUCAAUAGUGAAAGACGGUUUUGCUGUCACUUAUAGAUGGAUCCGCGCCGCAUUAGCUAGUUGGUAAGGUAACGGCUUACCAAGGCAACGAUGCGUAGCCGACCUGAGAGGGUGAUCGGACACACUGGAACUGAGACACGGUCCAGAAUCCUACGGGAGGCAGCAGUAGGGAAUCUUCCGCAAUGGGCGAAAGCCUGACGGAGCAACGCCGCGUGAGUGAUGAAGGUCUUCGGAUCGAAAAACUCUGUUAUUAGGGAAGAACAAAUGUGUAAGUAACUAUGCACGUCUUGACGGUACCUAAUCAGAAAGCCACGGCUAACUACGUG